This 65-nucleotide transfer RNA is filed under the name Geococcyx californianus (greater roadrunner). RNAcentral's name for it is "tRNA-Cys". Lineage: Eukaryota; Metazoa; Chordata; Aves; Cuculiformes; Neomorphidae. The record is from RNAcentral.
GGCUCUGUGGUGAAAUUCAUGUUGAGUUGCAAGCUCAUCGAUGCACGGUGAAAGUGCCAGAGCCU